This is an RNA transcript of Perognathus longimembris pacificus (Pacific pocket mouse), 2042 nucleotides long. It is a transcript of the gene named lymphatic vessel endothelial hyaluronan receptor 1, with no coding region annotated. NCBI's taxonomy places the organism in Eukaryota, Metazoa, Chordata, Mammalia, Rodentia, Heteromyidae. The record is from RefSeq and is a predicted model, not a curated record. The transcript has 7 exons.
CCAUCCACAAAGUACAGCCUGGGCAUUCAAGGGACGUCACUCAUUUCCCCCAAGUGACCUUGACAAGUCAGAAGCCUGAAAGCAGGGAAAUCCGGAUGUCUCCAUUAUGAAGUGAAACAGUGGGAGCUUCAGCAUAUUUCCAGAACUCUCCAUCAAGCCUGGUGGUUGAGCAUCUGCCUCCCUCACUGCCAGUAGCCAUCUGCACAGCUUCCCUGGCUCUAAGGGGUUUGUACAAUGGCCAAGUACAUCUGUCUGCUGUGGCUUCUCGCUUCCAUCUGGACCACUGGGCUCCUGGUUCAAGGCUCUGUCUCAGUUCAAGAACUUACCAUCUCAUUGCCAUGCAGAAUUAUGGGCGUCACCCUUGUGAGCAAAAAGACAGAACUGCAGAUGAAUUUCACAGAAGCCAGUGAGGCCUGUAAGCUGCUGGGACUAACUUUAGCCAGCAAAGACCAGGUUGCAGCAGCGCAGAAAUUUGGCUUUGAGACUUGCAAUUAUGGAUGGGUUGGAGAACGGUAUACUGUCAUCCCAAGGAUUCUCUCCAACCCUAAGUGUGGGAAGAAUGGUAUUGGCGUCCUCACUUGGAAUGCUCCAGUGAGCCGAAAGUUUAAGGCCUACUGUUACAACUCAUCUGACACGUGGGUUAACUCGUGCCUCCCGGAAACCGUCACCACCUUUGAUCCCAUGUUUGACUCUGUGACGCCCACAGCAGAGCUCACUGUGGGUGACAGCUCCUCCUCCUCAUCAUCCACUUACUCUACACAUGCUCUGGCUACCACUCCUGCUCCAGCCACCACCUCCAUUCCACGGAAGACAAAGCUGAUUUGUGUAACAGAAGUUUUGACAGAAACUAGUUCUGCAGCUACAGAGACAGAACCAACUAUUGAAAGUGAAGCAGCAUUCAAGAAUGAAGCUGCUGGGUUUGGAGGUGUCCCCACGGCUCUGCUGGUGCUCGCUCUCCUCUUCUUUGGUGCUGCAGCUGGCCUGGCAGUUUGUUACAUCAAAAGGUAUGUGAAAGCCUUCCCCUUUACAAACAAGAAUCCAAAGAAAGAAAUGAUUGAAACCAAGGUAGUAAAAGAAGAGAAGACUGACGAUGGCAAUGCCAACGAGGAAUCAAAGAAAACUGAGAAGACCUCUGAAGAUCCAAAGAGUCCACCCAAAACGACAGUGCGCUGUCUAGAAGCUGAAGUUUAGAGAAGGAGCAGAGAAGGCACACACCUGAGGCCGGUUUCUUUCCUGAUUUGUCCCCUGGCUCCAGGUGGGGAAAGUGAAAGGGCCAAAGAACUAAAGAAAAAUGUCCACCAUGGGUUCCUAAAAGGAAACAACUGUAGAGUUCUUCAAAGAGAGGGCUCUCCUCACUGCAGUCCUUCCUGGACCCUCUCCUCCUACCUCCACAGCUUCCCACAGCCUUUCUAGCCUAUGUCCUAGUAAUAUCCCAGUGACAGAAAGGAACUAUCAAGCGUGCCUUAUACAGUCCACCCCUACACUGCCUGAGUUGAGGGCCAGAGACCCUGAGACCAGGCCAGCCAGCCUGCUCAGAGCCUUUUUGUGACUUUGAGAAGGAAACACACUUGGCAUGUCCUUGAGCCAGACACAAGUAAGAGAGGAAGGGAAAGCUCAGCAACUACAGCCCAUGGGGAGCUGCAUGACUUGAGACCUAGUCUCUGGGAAGCAAAAAUAAAUAGAGUGUAGGAGGCCAGGAUACUGACAAUGAGGUUUAUGGCAAAGGCAUAAACACAGGGUCCAGGUAUCCUUCACUGAGUAAAUUGAUUGAAAUCACUUUUUAGAACAUAGAUACUUUCUUUUCUCUCUACUGCUGCUAUUUUCUCUGGAAGAAUAAACUUUGAUAAGAAACAAACAAAAGUACUCAAAAAAUUCUAAUUUUAUCUGAAUCACAGAAAUUAUUAUUGAAGAAAUUAAUAUGUUAAAAAGUAAUGAGAUUCAGCCUGGUGCUGGUGGCUCAUACCUAUUAUCCUAGCUACACACACAGGAGGCUGAGAGCUGAGGAUCACAGUUCAAAGCCAGUGCAGACAAGAAAGUCUGUG